GCCUACGGCCAUGCCACCCUGAACAUGCUCGAUUUCAUCUGAUCUCGGAAGCUAAGCAGGGUCGGGCCUGGUUACUACUUGGAUAGGAGACCACCUAGGAACACCAGGUGCUGUAGGUG
Molecule: ribosomal RNA, 119 nt
Filed under: Pteropus alecto (black flying fox)
Lineage: Eukaryota; Metazoa; Chordata; Mammalia; Chiroptera; Pteropodidae
Source: RNAcentral